RNAcentral lists this ribosomal RNA (101 nucleotides) under uncultured bacterium. RNAcentral describes it as "partial 16S ribosomal RNA". It matches the Rfam family "Bacterial small subunit ribosomal RNA", at positions 1384 to 1482 of the family's 1533-position model. The record is from RNAcentral.
UACACACCGCCCGUCACACCACGAAAGUCCGUUGUACCAGAAGUUGCUGGGCCAACCCGCAAGGGAAGCAGGCACCCAAGGUAUGAUUGGUGAUUGGGGUG